This 997-nucleotide ribosomal RNA is filed under the name human oral metagenome. Its description in RNAcentral is "bacterial LSU rRNA". It matches the Rfam family "Bacterial large subunit ribosomal RNA", at positions 1934 to 2925 of the family's 2925-position model. The record is from RNAcentral.
CCGUAACUAUAACGGUCCUAAGGUAGCGAAAUUCCUUGUCGGGUAAGUUCCGACCCGCACGAAUGGCGUAACGAUGGCCACACUGUCUCCUCCCGAGACUCAGCGAAGUUGAAGUGGUUGUGAAGAUGCAAUCUACCCGCUGCUAGACGGAAAGACCCCGUGAACCUUUACUGUAGCUUUGCAUUGGACUUUGAAGUCACUUGUGUAGGAUAGGUGGGAGGCUUAGAAGCAGAGACGCCAGUCUCUGUGGAGCCGUCCUUGAAAUACCACCCUGGUGUCUUUGAGGUUCUAACCCAGACCCGUUAUCCGGGUCGGGGACCGUGCAUGGUAGGCAGUUUGACUGGGGCGGUCUCCUCCCAAAGAGUAACGGAGGAGUUCGAAGGUUACCUAGGUCCGGUCGGAAAUCGGACUGAUAGUGCAAUGGCAAAAGGUAGCUUAACUGCGAGACCGACAAGUCGAGCAGGUGCGAAAGCAGGACAUAGUGAUCCGGUGGUUCUGUAUGGAAGGGCCAUCGCUCAACGGAUAAAAGGUACUCCGGGGAUAACAGGCUGAUUCCGCCCAAGAGUUCAUAUCGACGGCGGAGUUUGGCACCUCGAUGUCGGCUCAUCACAUCCUGGGGCUGUAGUCGGUCCCAAGGGUAUGGCUGUUCGCCAUUUAAAGUGGUACGUGAGCUGGGUUUAAAACGUCGUGAGACAGUUUGGUCCCUAUCUGCAGUGGGCGUUGGAAGUUUGACGGGGGCUGCUCCUAGUACGAGAGGACCGGAGUGGACGAACCUCUGGUGUACCGGUUGUCACGCCAGUGGCAUCGCCGGGUAGCUAAGUUCGGAAGAGAUAAGCGCUGAAAGCAUCUAAGCGCGAAACUCGCCUGAAGAUGAGACUUCCCUUGCGGUUUAACCGCACUAAAGAGUCGUUCGAGACCAGGACGUUGAUAGGUGGGGUGUGGAAGCGCGGUAACGUGUGAAGCUAACCCAUACUAAUUGCUCGUGAGGCUUGACUCU